UAUCUUUUGAGUAUGCCUAGUACAUUUGCCUUCCAAGCAAAAGGAUUAAUAAAAUUUAAAAAAGAUAU
This 68-nucleotide transfer RNA is filed under the name Ficus variegata (in: gastropods). RNAcentral describes it as "Ficus variegata Roding, 1798 tRNA-Gly". The record is from RNAcentral. Lineage: Eukaryota; Metazoa; Mollusca; Gastropoda; Littorinimorpha; Ficidae.